This 473-nucleotide ribosomal RNA is filed under the name uncultured bacterium. RNAcentral's name for it is "bacterial SSU rRNA". It matches the Rfam family "Bacterial small subunit ribosomal RNA", at positions 355 to 825 of the family's 1533-position model. The record is from RNAcentral.
UGGGGAAUUUUGGACAAUGGGGGCAACCCUGAUCCAGCAAUGCCGCGUGAGUGAAGAAGGCCUUCGGGUUGUAAAGCUCUUUUGUCAGGGAAGAAACGGUAGUAGCGAAUAACUACUACUAAUGACGGUACCUGAAGAAUAAGCACCGGCUAACUACGUGCCAGCAGCCGCGGUAAUACGUAGGGUGCAAGCGUUAAUCGGAAUUACUGGGCGUAAAGCGUGCGCAGGCGGUUGUGUAAGUCAGAUGUGAAAUCCCCGGGCUCAACCUGGGAAUUGCAUUUGAGACUGCACGGCUAGAGUGUGUCAGAGGGGGGUAGAAGUUCCACGUGUAGCAGUGAAAUGCGUAGAUAUGUGGAGGAAUACCGAUGGCGAAGGCAGCCCCCUGGGAUAACACUGACGCUCAUGCACGAAAGCGUGGGGAGCAAACAGGAUUAGAUACCCCUGUAGUCCCUGAGCGGGCUGGCAAGGCGCAU